This 253-nucleotide ribosomal RNA is filed under the name uncultured bacterium. RNAcentral's name for it is "partial 16S ribosomal RNA". It matches the Rfam family "Bacterial small subunit ribosomal RNA", at positions 524 to 776 of the family's 1533-position model. The record is from RNAcentral.
UACAGAGGUCUCAAGCGUUGUUCGGAUUCACUGGGCUUAAAGGGCGCGUAGGCGGACGGUCAAGUCGGGGGUGAAAUCUCUCGGCUCAACCGAGAAACGUCGGCCGAUACUGCCGUUCUUGAGGGAUGCAGAGGAGACUGGAAUUCCCGGUGUAGCGGUGAAAUGUGUAGAGAUCGGGAGGAACACCGGUGGCGAAGGCGGGUCUCUGGGCAUUUCCUGACGCUGAGGCGCGAAAGCGUGGGGAGCAAACGGG